GGAUGUCAUUGUCUAGCACCGGACAGAAUGAAAUACUCUUCGCUUCGAUGGCUGGUUGUUGCAAGGAAUCUUUUUAUUCUUUGAACCGCGUCUUGGGAGUGGAAGUUCCAGUUCCUGGAGUCGAUUUUUUAUAGUUUGAAUCACGUCUUGGGCAAGGUCCUUUUAAUAUACUCGGUGUAUAUUUAAAGGACCUUGGUCUUGGGAGUAGAAGUUCCAGUUCCUGGUUCAUGGAGUUAGCGCCGAGGACGAGAACUGCUCUGAAUCCUGCAGAGAGCAGCACCGAGGAGUGAUCUGUUCUGGAGUCCUUGCAGACACAGGACGAGAACUGCUUUCAAUCAAUCCUUCUGGAGUGCAACACCGAUAACGAGAACCGUUCUGAACCAUGAAUGCAGCACCGUGGACAAGUACUGUUUUCAAUCUACCAAGACUGCAGCACCGAGGAUGAGAACUGAUCUGAGAAGAGGGAAGCUCAACUCCG
This is a long non-coding RNA of Macrobrachium nipponense, 478 nucleotides long. RefSeq lists it as uncharacterized. Lineage: Eukaryota; Metazoa; Arthropoda; Malacostraca; Decapoda; Palaemonidae. The transcript is spliced from 3 exons. The record is from RefSeq and is a predicted model, not a curated record.